CAAUUUAAGCAUAAAUCAUAUAAGAAAAAUAAUUUCAAUUGAUAAACAUCAAAUACGAACUUUCUCGGGUCUUAUAUGAGCCUACAAAUGCUCUGAAGUUAACUCGAAAUCGCGACGUGAGGAGUUCUUCAUCACAACAUGAUCGUUUGUUUUGCCUCGUUGAGAUGACGGGGUUCCUUGUCAUGUUGUGGUCCAAAACCCAUAUCUCAUCGCAAUGACCACCGCUUGACUUCGUGACGUGGACUCUGUUUUUUACACAGAAUAGACCUUUUGGUGACUAUUUCAACCAACUAAACCAUUAUACAAAGUUGGUGCAUUUUUGCAUAACAUUACCUAUACAAGAAUUUGCCAAAACACAUGCCAAACAUAUAUUUAACUAUUUUCCCAAUCAACUAGACCAAUAUGCCACAAUUUGGCAUCAAAUCAUUUCAAUUCAACUUAUAUAAAUUCAAUUAUACAUAUAGCCAUUCCACACCAUUAUUUAAUCAUACUAUUCAUGCUCAAAUAUACCAUAUCAAGUAUCACACCCAUAGUUCAAAAUGUUACCAAAACAACAUGUUCAAAUAAGCUUUACUUUACCAAAUAUUCAAACAUUAGAAAGGUUCAACAAUACUAACAUCUAUAUUACCAAAAGCAUAACUCCUGUUUACAUGCCACAAAACUAAGAUUCCAAAUUAUUAAAAGACUACCAAAUCAAUGACAGGGUAUUAUGAGAUUCUCGUAGAUCUGAUCGACAUGUUCUGCAAGAUGGCAAUCUACAAAAAAAGAAAGAUAAUGGCGUAACCAUUUCGAAUGCUUAGUAAGUGUUAGGAAAUGUGUCUAUAUUGUAGUAAACAUGUAAUUGUUUUCUAUGUAUUUGAAUGAUGAAUAAAUAAAUAAAGUUAAUUUCACAUUUCACUAUUAUGUCUUUUAUGUUUCUAUCUUUCAUGUUCAGCAUGCAUAGCGAAACUGUGACAAACAAAUAUUAGUCCAUUGAUUGUCUAAGUUCAAACUGAUGAUAAGUGACACUGUAAGAAAGUUUACAUUGUAAGAAAAACAACUUACUUUAGUAGAUAAUCUAAACGAACCCGUAAUCCUAUAAAAGAAUCAAAGUGAGCAUUUGAUUCAAAUACAUAAAAGGAUUAUUAUGUCCUUUACAAUUCCAAUUGUGGAGAUAGCUAGUCUUGGCUAUUGGAGCAGUUGACUCCACGGGUAGAGAUAUAGAUGUACUCAUUGGAAGAAUGAUACAUUGAACUGAACCUAAGUUGAAUUAAUUCUGAAUCCGUUUGUGAAUUAAUUCACUUGUGACGUUCAUGAUGUGAUUUACUAAAUCCUGAGUUAGUUACUAACCAUGUGUAUGUAACUCAUGUGCUUUGAUAUAAGUGGAGGCUUGUACUUUAAAAAUGAUCGAGCCUAUAGACGGCAUGCUGGGUACAUGACUUGUGUAUGGCAUCGCUUUGUUAGCAACAAUGGAAUUCAUAGCUCGAUUAAAGAGUUAAUGGUAUCUUCUCAUUGGGAUUGUGUGGAUUGAUAAAUAUGGAACGUGGCCACGGGUUACUUAUUCUCGAACUAGCAAUUUAUUACAUUCGUUUGCUGACAAAGAUCAUAUUACUCAUUAAGAAGACACAAUGGUGACAAUAAGAUAAAAUAGAAUUGUACUGAGUGAACGGAUUUAACUAAAUGAAAUUAAGGAUAUUAUAUAAGGAUAAAACAUAUAUGACAAGGUCAUUCGACAAAGCAGUUGGAUGAAUUGCUUUCGUAAAGAGUAUACAAUAAGGAGUUUUCAAUCAUGGUACUUCUUUUGGACUGACUCCAUGAUUAAGUAAUUAUGAAUUAUUGGAACAAUGCUUUUGGACAUAAUUGUAUUUACUAGAGCCUAAUUGUAUAUGUCCAAUUGGUCCCUCUGCUAGCUCAACAAAAACUCAAUCAGACUGUAUUUGAAUUAGAAGAAAAUUCUACAACUUUGGAAAUAAUUUAAUUGAGUCGAUUUAUUCGAUGUGAAAUUAAAUUAGACAGUCGUUAGAAUUGAUCAACUAGAAAACUUGAUUAAAGAAUUUUUUUGAAAAAUUAAUUUGGAAAAUAUUAGUGAUUUUUGGGAAAACUAAUUUUUAUCAAGUAAAAUUAAAUUAAUCAAAUUAAUUAAAAUUAAUAUGAUAUUUUCAGAAAUUAAUUUUCAAGUUAUACAAUUGACCAAUAGGUAAUUGGACUUGAGACCGAAAAUUGGAAUCAAGAACCAAAAAUCAAGAUUGAGACCCAAAACUGUUUGAAUUGGGCUCGAUAGUGAAAUCGGACCAAUCGGGCCAUCAUUGGCCCAAACUGAAUUGGAGACAACCGAACGAACAACAGUUGAACCGGCUCAAGGUGCUAUAAGGGUGUCGCAUCUACGAUAGCACCACUAGACACGACGACGUUCUAGUGGCUAAUGGGUGGUCCUUCGACGGUUGAGCAGUGGAGGAAUCACACUUCUACUAGGACUCUACUAGAUAAUUUGAUUUCAGAUUAACUAUUCUGAAAAAAAAUAUUAUUUUAAUAGAUUUAAUAUUAAAUAUAAUUUACUAUUUAUCUUGAUAGUGUUAUGUAGCAACCCAAACCCGGCCCAGAAAUUAUGGCCGGAUCCGGCAUGCCACAUCAAAAACGUUAAAAAAAAAAUUUCUAUUCUAAGUCCAGAAAAUCGUACUUGAUGUUCAAAAGAUUAAUUCAUUAAGGGUUAAAGUGAAUGGAAGCUGUGCACCAGGUAAGAAACCAGAAAAGAGGUGGUGAGUCAAUCGGACUGCUUAAGUACCAAGCUCCCUUCGGAUCCAAUCCUAGACAUGCAUACCGCCAUUGCCACACCUUAACGUCAUGGAUAUUUCUAGGAAACCGAUUUGAUUAAGUCAUUUUUAGGAAAAGUGAUUAAUUUUGGAAAAUACUUUCAUUGCGGAAGCUUUUCUUGUUGUCGUGUUAUUUUGAAAUCAACUGUUGUUUUUGAAAACGCGCCCUAAAACUAUCCAAUUUCAACAGUUAAAAUAAGUAUUACCUAUCUUAGUAAUACAUAUUAAAAACCAUCAAAAAUAAAUAAGCGGCCUUAUUACAUUUAAAAGCCUAAAACCUCAAACAUAAUUAAAAGGAUGUCAAGUUUACCAGAAGAAAAUCAAACUUUCAGAACGGGUGGCCACUCCGAAUUCCCUCACAGCUCCAAGCCCACUAUGGUUGGGAAUUUCCUGCGUGGAUGAAAAUAAAAGGGGUGAGUUUGGGGAAACUCAGUGUGUAAAUUAACCCAACCAUAGCCUAUAUCAGCUCAAACCACAGAAAUAGAAUAAGUUGGCCUUAGCCCAGAACAGAAUUCAAAAUAAAGCCCAUAGGCCCAUAACAGAACAGAACAGAUAUUACAUGUUUAUGCAGAAACCCAACCAUAUCCAACCGUAUACACCCCCGUACCAACCUUACACCGUGUGGGGAGACAAAUCGACCCACCCAACCGCUACACACCACAGAAUUUGCAGCAUGGCUGCCAGAACAGAUAAUGUGACAGAGUCACCAGAUACAGAUAAUCGUGGCAGAGCCACCAGAACAGAUAUAUGUGGCAGAGCCACCAGAUCAGAUAUUUGUGGCAUAGCCACCAGAACGCUUCCUCCAUAAUAUAACCCAUGUCCCCAUGCAACAAAUAUAUAAUCAUGGCAUCCAUCAUACAGAAUCAGAUCGCUAUUCUUUUCAGUCAAAAUUAACCCUAGAGGUAUAACGGUAAUUUUGCACCUAGGGGUAUAAUAGUAAUUUUCCAUACAUAGGGGUAUUAUAGUAAUUUAGCUACUUUCAGGGUUUUCAUGCAUAUCCUAACUAUUUACGUACUAUCAGAACACUUACCGCACAUACUUACCGAAUUGGGCCCGUUGGCCCAUGAACCCGAUCUUUGGCCCAUUAAGCCCAAAUUAUCAAAAUGUACGAAAUCGCGCGUACUGCAGUUUAUUACUUUAGAUUACCAAAUAUAUAAACCCAACUAUUUUACGAGCAUUCGCACACUCGCAAAUUCCCAAAAUACCGACUUUUCGGCUUUUGCCAAUCUAGUCUAUGAGAGGGUGUCAGUUACACACCUGUUUGCGACGAUAUGCUAACGAGAUCCACACACGAACCGCCUACAAUUGGAUUACUAACACGUUAAUCUAACUAUUCAAAUACAAACUAUGUAUUAACCCCUUACAAUAUUCGGCCAACCACACCUACAGAUCAUAGUAAGCUUAUAAGAAAUCAAUAAGCAACUCAUUAACAAAUUUUUGUCAAUGUUUACCACAUAAUCAUAAUUUCACUGCAAGCUGUCUUCCUGAGCAACAGUCACUAAAUUAUUUAUAACUGGAGCUACGAAACUCCAAAUCAAGUGCCGUUAAUUUUCCUUGAAAAUAGACUCAUAUAUCUUCUAUCCAUAAAAUUUUCAGAAUUUUUUGGUUUAGCCAAUCAAUACCAGAUUUUUCUCAAAGUUUCCCAUGUUUCACUGUUUGACUAAUCUGACCACUCUUUAUUACGAAUCAAAUUUCUCAUUCUACAGAAUUCAAAAUAUGUUCUAGUUUAUUCCAUUUGAAACUAGACUCAUUAAGCUUUAAUUACAUAAUUUAUUCAGCUUCUAACUCAUCUCCCACAAUUUAUGGUGAUUUUCCAAAGUCACAUUACUGCUGCUGUCCCAAGCAGAUUUAUUACCAAAUCACUCUUUCACACCUAACUUGCAUGCUUGUUAUUUAAACAUGUAUAUCACCAAUCAAUCAUCACAUAUCUAUGAUUUUACUUAAGUAUAAUCUCCAUUUCAUCAUUUUAAAGCACAACAUGUUAGCUGAUUUUUCCCUUUAACAUCUAAGGCAUAUGCAUGCUCAUUUGUUUGGCUCAACUUCACCUAUCUUCCAUUUUUUCAUCAAAAGAACAUGAAACAACAACCAUUUCCUUCAUUUUAAUUCAUGACUAAAUGCUCACAACACAACUAAAAAUCAAAAUAUACUUCAAGAGUUAAGGUAGAAUCAAGAAGAACUCAUGAACCUCAAAAUAGAAGCAAGGUACCAAGAACUUACCUUCAAUUUUCCUCCUCCUAAUGACCGAAUACUCAAGAGCUUUCUCCUCUCCUUUCUCUUCUCUAACUUUCAGCUAUGAUGAACAAUGAUGGAUAAAACUUUGUUCUUUUCACCCCUUUUUCUUUUAAUAAAACUUCAUAUUUC
This 5150-nucleotide long non-coding RNA is filed under the name Gossypium barbadense (sea-island cotton). RNAcentral describes it as "long non-coding RNA (GBAR_LNC004739)". Lineage: Eukaryota; Viridiplantae; Streptophyta; Magnoliopsida; Malvales; Malvaceae. The record is from RNAcentral.